RNAcentral lists this unclassified non-coding RNA (515 nucleotides) under Hevea brasiliensis (rubber tree). The record is from RNAcentral. Lineage: Eukaryota; Viridiplantae; Streptophyta; Magnoliopsida; Malpighiales; Euphorbiaceae.
AUGGAUACAAAUUUGACAGGUAGUUUCAUUGUCGUUAUUAGGAUAUCAAUUAGCUUCUCCUACUAGUUCUUUGGUUUUAGCUUCAAUUAUUUCAUUUGUUCUUUACCUAUUUUCUUGGUAACCCUCUGAUUGGGACUCUUUCAUCUGGCUUGGUUCAGAUUUUUUUUUUUAUUUAUUUUUUAAAAUAUUUUGAUUCAUCAUUAGAGUUUAACUAGUCUUUUGAAUCUUUGAUAUGCACCUUGAGCGAUUUGUGAUGUUUCAAAGUCAUAUUAAAGUUUAACCCUCCUGGAUCUAUAUUACUAGAAGGUAAACGUCAGUAUCUGCAUUUGCAUUUGAUUUGUAGUAUCAGAAUCAUUAUACGAGAUUCUGAUUGUGAAUAUAUGAAAUAUAUCAACACAAAGUCACCAAUCCCUGAAUGAAAUGUCAUUUACCAGAAAUAGUUUAUACUGUGUUCGCUUAUUGUUAAACUACUCAAAAUCAUGAUAGAACCUUUUUCUUUUUGUGGAGUUGCUUUG